This 76-nucleotide transfer RNA is filed under the name Gammaproteobacteria bacterium. Its description in RNAcentral is "tRNA-Thr". It matches the Rfam family "tRNA". From Rfam's summary of the family: Transfer RNA (tRNA) molecules are approximately 80 nucleotides in length. Their secondary structure includes four short double-helical elements and three loops (D, anti-codon, and T loops). Lineage: Bacteria; Pseudomonadati; Pseudomonadota; Gammaproteobacteria. The record is from RNAcentral.
GCCCACAUAGCUCAGGCGGUAGAGCACUCCCUUGGUAAGGGAGAGGUCACUGGUUCGAUUCCAGUUGUGGGCACCA